UGGACAACCUACAUGUAGACAAUAAGUCAA
Molecule: non-coding RNA, 30 nt
Filed under: Mus musculus (house mouse)
Lineage: Eukaryota; Metazoa; Chordata; Mammalia; Rodentia; Muridae
Source: RNAcentral